GCGGCUAUGGUCUAUCGGUAUGAUGCGAGCUUCCCAAGCUUGCGAGCCGGGUUCAAUUCCCGGUAGCCGCA
This 71-nucleotide transfer RNA is filed under the name Candidatus Woesearchaeota archaeon. RNAcentral's name for it is "tRNA-Gly". It matches the Rfam family "tRNA". From Rfam's summary of the family: Transfer RNA (tRNA) molecules are approximately 80 nucleotides in length. Their secondary structure includes four short double-helical elements and three loops (D, anti-codon, and T loops). Further hydrogen bonds mediate the characteristic L-shaped molecular structure. tRNAs have two regions of fundamental functional importance: the anti-codon, which is responsible for specific mRNA codon recognition, and the 3' end, to which the tRNAs corresponding amino acid is attached (by aminoacyl-tRNA synthetases). tRNAs cope with the degeneracy of the genetic code in two manners: having more than one tRNA (with a specific anti-codon) for a particular amino acid; and 'wobble' base-pairing, i.e. permitting non-standard base-pairing at the 3rd anti-codon position. Lineage: Archaea; Nanobdellati; Candidatus Woesearchaeota. The record is from RNAcentral.